CUCAGGAUGAACGCUAGCGACAGGCCUAACACAUGCAAGUCGAGGGGCAUCGGGGCGAGGAGCAAUCCUUGCCGCCGGCGACCGGCGCACGGGUGAGUAACGCGUAUGCGACCUGCCCGUUGCAGGGGGAUAAUCGGGAGAAAUCCCGUCUAAUACCGCGUAAUGCCGCGGGGCUGCAUGGCCCUGCGGCCAAAGGAAGCGAUUCCGGCAACGGAUGGGCAUGCGUGACAUUAGCUAGUUGGCGGGGCAACGGCCCACCAAGGCGACGAUGUCUAGGGGUUCUGAGAGGAAGGUCCCCCACACUGGUACUGAAACACGGACCAGACUCCUACGGGAGGCAGCAGUGAGGAAUAUUGGUCAAUGGGCGCGAGCCUGAACCAGCCAAGUCGCGUGAGGGAUGACGGCCCUACGGGUUGUAAACCUCUUUUGUCGGGGAGCAAAUUCCGCCACGUGUGGCGGAGUCGAGAGUACCCGAAGAAAAAGCAUCGGCUAACUCCGUGCCAGCAGCCGCGGUAAUACGGAGGAUGCGAGCGUUAUCCGGAUUUAUUGGGUUUAAAGGGUGCGUAGGCGGACUGUCAAGUCAGCGGUAAAAUACGGGGGCUCAACCUCCGCCCGCCGUUGAAACUGACGGUCUUGAGUGGGCGAGAAGUAUGCGGAAUGCGUGGUGUAGCGGUGAAAUGCAUAGAUAUCACGCAGAACUCCGAUUGCGAAGGCAGCAUACCGGCGCCCAACUGACGCUGAAGCACGAAAGCGUGGGUAUCGAACAGGAUUAGAUACCCUGGUAGUCCACGCAGUAAACGAUGAAUACUAGCUGUCCGGGGCGAAUGAGCCCUGGGUGGCACAGCGAAAGCGUUAAGUAUUCCACCUGGGGAGUACGCCGGCAACGGUGAAACUCAAAGGAAUUGACGGGGGCCCGCACAAGCGGAGGAACAUGUGGUUUAAUUCGAUGAUACGCGAGGAACCUUACCCGGGCUCAAACGACACAGGAACGUACCUGAAAGGGUUCGGCUCUACGGAGCCUGUGUCGAGGUGCUGCAUGGUUGUCGUCAGCUCGUGCCGUGAGGUGUCGGCUUAAGUGCCAUAACGAGCGCAACCCCCAUCGACAGUUGCUAACAGGUCAGGCUGAGGACUCUGUCGAGACUGCCGGCGCAAGCUGCGAGGAAGGCGGGGAUGACGUCAAAUCAGCACGGCCCUUACGUCCGGGGCGACACACGUGUUACAAUGGCAGGUACAGCGGGAAGCCACCUGGCGACAGGGAGCGGAACCCGAAAGCCUGUCUCAGUUCGGAUUGGAGUCUGCAACCCGACUCCAUGAAGCUGGAUUCGCUAGUAAUCGCGCAUCAGCCACGGCGCGGUGAAUACGUUCCCGGGCCUUGUACACACCGCCCGUCAAGCCAUGGAAGCCGGGGGUGCCUGAAGUGCGCUGCCGCGAGGAGCGCCCUAGGGUAAAACCGGUGACUGGGGCUAAGUCGUAACGAGGUA
This 1481-nucleotide ribosomal RNA is filed under the name uncultured bacterium. RNAcentral describes it as "16S ribosomal RNA". It matches the Rfam family "Bacterial small subunit ribosomal RNA". The record is from RNAcentral.